UGACUGCUUCCUGAGAGUGUUCACGGCAUGAAGGAGCCUGCAGAUGCGUGUGCUUUUGAAAAUGUGUUUGUGUGGGUCCGUGAGGGGCAGCACCAGCAAGCCUCCCUGCAGCCUGAGUGACAUCACUGCCCAGCAGAGCAUGACAGGCGCCAAAGCCACAAGCAAGCAGGGAUAUGUGGAGAAUAUUAUCCACCUUCCUGCUCCUUUAUUUAUCCUCUCCACCCAGAGGCCCCAAUCAAUCGAGGCAUCGACUCCACCAAAGCCCUGAAGCUGAGCUGUGGUAUCUGGCACCAAGAAGACAGCAACACAUCCUCUGAGGUGUGAGAGCACAUCAUCCUGCUGAAAGAGUCCACAGCCAUGAGGGAGUACCGUUUCAAUAAAAGAGUGUACAUGGUGGUCUGCAGCAAUGCUUAGGUAGGUGCUACAUGUCAACAACCACAUGAAUGUCAGGACCCAAGGUCUCACAGUAGAACUUUGCCUGAAGCAUCACACUGCCUCUGCCAGCCUGCCUUCUUCCCAUAGUGCAUCCUGGUGCCAGGUGUUCCCCAGGCAAGUGAUGCAGAUGCACUCGGCCAGCCACGUGAUGUAAAAGAAAACAUGGUUCAGCAGACCAGGCCAACUUCUUCCAUUGCUCCAUGAUCCAGUUCUGAUGCUUAAUGCCCAUGUUUGGAGCUUUUAGAAGUAGACAGGAGUUAGCAUGAGCCCCCUGACCAUGCGGAUAUGGAUACACAACAAACUGUGGUGCACUGUGUAUUCUGACAUCUUUCCAUCAGAACCAGCAGGAAAAUCUGCAACAAUUUGAGCUGUGGUAGCUCAUCUGUCGGAGUGGACCACUCCUCCCUGUUACAUCCCACCCACUAACAGGUGCUGCAGUGAAGAGAUAAUCAGUAUUAUUCAGUCCAUCUGUCAGUGGUCAUAAUGUUAUUCCUGAUUAGUGUUUAAAAGAGGGAAUUUGCUACGGUGAUGUCACCCAUUUGAAUGUGUGGUCCCGUCGUGAAGACUCAUAGUCAUCAUUUUGUCUGUCGCUAUCUUGAUGUUUUGAAACUGGAG
This is a long non-coding RNA of Astatotilapia calliptera (eastern happy), 1050 nucleotides long. The record is from Ensembl. NCBI's taxonomy places the organism in Eukaryota, Metazoa, Chordata, Actinopteri, Cichliformes, Cichlidae.